UCCCCACUUUUGCCCUCACCACUAGUUCCCGGCCCUAACUCCCAAAGCCGCUAAAGCCCACUUACCACAUUAAACUUCUUCUUCCUCUCAUGAAUGUAUCUUCUUCCUCCCAUGAAAGAUAAAGAGCUUCGGAUUGGUCACGAAGGUAUUUUCUUGCAUGGAAAUGGAGACAACGGGACGCCACACACUCGCUUUAGAUCCGUAAGCGCCGAGGCAUUUAAGCCGGCGAGACGGAGAGCACCCAUCGCACACCGUGCAACAACCCAACAAGCUCAAAGAUGGCGAUCCACAAGCCUGUAGUCUUGCUCGUGCUUCUCGCGUUCCUCACACCUUCGGCCUCAACGCGUCUUCUGCGCGAGGAGCUCUGCUCGUGCGUCCACCGCCGCCGCCUUCAGCGGCCGGCGCACUCCCUCCACCGGUCGCGGUGGAGCAGCGAUCCACCCCCAGGCGCCGCUCUUCCUCCUCCAGCGGGUGGAGCGCUCCCUCCACCCGUCGCCCUGGAGCUGUGACCGAUCCCAGCCGCCGGUGAGCUUGUUCCAUCACCACCUCCUCCUCCAGCCGCUGGUGAGCUAGUUCCACCACCUCCUCCUACAACCGUCGGUUAGCUCGUUCCACCUCCUCCAGCAGCCGGGCAGCUCAUUCCACCUCCUCCAGCGGCCGGAUCCGGCGUCUACUUGCCCCAGCUGUCCUGCCAGGAGGCUUCUUCUCCACUUAUCGCGUCUGGAAGAUCAUUGGCAUCGUUCUUGGCGGUAUCUUGGCACUCCUGGUUUGUCUCUGGAUACUCUUCAAAUACAAGGUGCACAAAUGCUGGCAGCGUGGGGACGAUGAGGGGACGGCCCGCCACCAGGCGCGCCCGGACAUGAUCGGGGACAUUUUGCCCGCAGUCGUGCGUGGCAUCAUCUUUUUGUUCAACCUACUCUUCGGCUUCUGUUGCUGAUCGGGUGCACACACAAUGUUCGUCUGAAGACCUAUGAGUCUGCUUAGGCCAAGAACUUCUUCCUCACAGGAGGCGGCGCUGCUCGACGCGCACCGCGACUGCCCCGAGGAGCUGCGGGAGGCGGUGGCGGGGCUCUGCUACGCGGCCGCCCGGUGCGGGGACCUCCCCAAGCUGCAGGAGGCCCGCGCUCGAGAUAGUGGACCUGGCGGCUAGGGUUGGGAACCUCUCGUGUCGCCCGUGAGGGGGUGACGCAAGAGUCGGGAGAGUCGAGAUUUAUAGAUAGCGACAAUGAUAAUUUUCCUCCUCUUCUUUUAUUUGACAUAAGACUAGAAGAAAAAGGAGGGCUUUCCCAUAUCGAACAUGGCGAGGCGGGCGGAAUAUAUCACAUCAAAUAUCGAUAUGCAUGAACCACGGGUAGUCACAGUAUCAUCUCAAUAAAGGUAUAGGAGUGAAAAUUAUACAAGGAACAUAACAAAUGAAAAUAAUAAUCGUUAUGCUUUCUUUUUCUACAAGGAACAUAACAAAGUGAAAUGAUAAAACGUCAUGCAUAUCCAAUAAAAGGAAAUACUGCAAGUAGCAUCAUGAAUAAAACGAAAGCCUAUACAUAAUAAAGAGUGGAUUUAAUUAACAUCGUUACCCGUGUCAUCGAUUUUCGGGACAACACGAGUCAGUGCCUUUGUCGCCUUCAUUUUAUGAUAUUUUCUUUGCCAUGCGCCCAUCAACUAUAACCCUCCAAUAUAUACAUCACAAUAAACAACAGAUGAAUGACGUUGGACUGAUAGUUCCAAUACCAACAAUGGCAACAUGAGUGAAAUCCUCC
Aegilops tauschii subsp. strangulata is the source of this 1757-nucleotide long non-coding RNA. RefSeq lists it as uncharacterized. The record is from RefSeq and is a predicted model, not a curated record. Lineage: Eukaryota; Viridiplantae; Streptophyta; Magnoliopsida; Poales; Poaceae.